GAUGAACGCUAGCGGCAGGCCUAACACAUGCAAGUCGAGGGGUAGAAGGAGCUUGCUCCUUUGAGACCGGCGCACGGGUGCGUAACGCGUAUGCAAUCUACCUUGUACAGGGGAAUAGCCCAGAGAAAUUUGGAUUAAUGCCCCAUAGUGUAUAACCUUCGCAUGUUGGUUAUAUUAAAGUUCCAACGGUACAAGAUGAGCAUGCGUCCCAUUAGUUAGUUGGUAAGGUAACGGCUUACCAAGACGAUGAUGGGUAGGGGUCCUGAGAGGGAGAUCCCCCACACUGGUACUGAGACACGGACCAGACUCCUACGGGAGGCAGCAGUGAGGAAUAUUGGUCAAUGGUCGCAAGACUGAACCAGCCAUGCCGCGUGCAGGAAGACGGUCCUAUGGAUUGUAAACUGCUUUUAUACAGGAAGAAACCCUCCCACGUGUGGGAGCUUGACGGUACUGUAGGAAUAAGGAUCGGCUAACUCCGUG
Molecule: ribosomal RNA, 480 nt
Filed under: uncultured bacterium
Lineage: Bacteria
Description: partial 16S ribosomal RNA
Rfam family: Bacterial small subunit ribosomal RNA
Source: RNAcentral